GGAGCCAAGGCUUACCCACUGACACACAUUAUUACACACACACACACACACACAGAGAGAGAGAGAGAGCAAUGCAGUGUCGGAGGCUUCCUAUUGGACGAUGUCCACAAACCCUUGAUUGACAGUCCAGUGGGCGGGGUCUAGCCUGCAGGUGGAGGUGGUGAUGUCUAAGCGAGGUGGGGGAGGAACAGGGGGGCGAGGAAAAGGGGAGCGACCAGACGCCAUGGCGACCCUUCAAGCAGCCAAUGAGGAGCUGAGAGCCAAACUGACCGAAAUCCAGAUAGAACUGCAGCAGGAGAAGAACAAGGUGAGUCGUCUGGAGCGGGAGAAAGCUCAGGAGCUGAAGGCGGAGCAUCACCGGGCGUCGGCGGCUAUGACGACGCUGAAGACCAAACUCCAUGAGGAGAAGCAGAAGGAACUGGCCGUUACCAGGGAAACGUUACUGCGGCAACAUGAGAUGGAGCUGAUGCGGGUCAUCAAGAUUAAAGAUGAGGAGAUCCAGCGUCUUGCCCACAGGGGCGGCGCUACCGAGAAGGCAAGGAGCCCUCUAGUGGCGGAGGCAGAGGAAGCGAGGCGGGGCUGGGAGGUGGAGAGAUGUCGCCUUCAGCAGGAAGUCCAGGAGCUGCGCAGAGCAAAGAAGUCGAUGGAGGACGUUCUGACAUCAUCGCAGCAGGCAUGUCAGGCCCGAGCGGCCGAGCUACGAUCUGCCCACCACCACCACCAGGAGGAGCUCAACCGCACUAAGAGGGACUGCGAGAGGGAAGUGCGCCGUCUGAUGGACGAGAUCAAGCUGAAGGACAGAGCAGUCAGUGUUUUGGACAAAGCUCUGGGGCUUCAGGCUGGCCACGCCCACCGUCUCCAGCUGCAGACUCAGGCGGCCGAGCAGCAAAUCGCAGCGCUCAGAGACGCUCAGAAGACGGGGACUAACACUAGCCCUAACUCAACCCCUAACACCCCCUCCCACAUUUCCCAGGAGGAGCGGGACACUCGUAGGUUUCAGCUGAAAAUCGCUGAACUCAGUUCUGUUGUUAGGAAACUGGAGGAUCGAAACGCUCUGCUGUCAGAAGAACGCAACGAACUGCUGAAGCGCCUGCGGGAGGCAGAGUCUCAGUUUCUUCCUCUGCUGGACAAAAACAAGCGUCUGAGCAGAAAAAACGAGGAGCUAGCGCUCUCUCUGCGCCGUCUGGACAACAAAUUGCGCUUUGUCACACAGGAGAAUCUGGAGAUGGUAACUAUGAGAAGGCCCAGUUCCCUCAAUGACCUGGACAACAGUUGCCAUGGUUACCACCAAGAGGCUGGAGAGAUGGAAUUUCUACGGUUACAAGUGAUGGAGCAGCAGCACGUCAUCGACGACCUUUCAAAGGCUCUUGAAACAGCAGGUUAUGUAAAGAAUGUAAUAGAGAGAGACAUGUUGCUCAGAUACAGACGACAGGAAACAGUGAGAAGAAAAAGAACCUUCAGAGCCUGCAGAGUCAUAGAGACCUUCUAUGGUUAUGAUGAAGAAGUGGACUCUGACGGAUCGUCGUUGUCUUUUCACACGGACAGAACUCCGGACACUGAACCAGAAGAGGGAUGCGUGCGUGAGGAGGCGGAGCUACGAUACCGUCAGCUGACUCAGGAAUAUCAGGCGCUGCAGCGAGCGUACGCUCUUCUGACAGAGACCUGUGGAGGAAACUAUGAUGCUGAGAAGGAGAUCAAGACCAGAGAACAACUGCUGAGUGAAAUAAGUCAGUACCAAACCAGAGUCACUGACCUGGAGUCAGCACUGAAACAGCAAGGACUGGACGUCCUGUGGGUGGAGGAGAAACAACGUUUGUAUCAGAGGAACCAGGAGUUGGUGGAGAAGCUGCGUCAGAUGGAUAGUGAGGAGCUGCGUCUGAGGAACGAGAUCCAGGACAUCAGAGACCAGAAUGAGCUGCUGGAGUUCAGGAUCUUGGAGCUGGAGGAGCGGGAGCGACGAUCACCCGGAAUCAACUUCCAGCAACUGCAUUUCCCAGAAGGCCUCAGUCCCCUGCAGGUGUACUGUGAGGCGGAGGGUGCGACUGACAUUGUCAUCAGUGAACUGAUGAAGAAGCUGGACAUCCUGGGAGAUAACGCCGUAAGUAACCUGUCCAAUGACGAGCAGGUGGUGGUGAUUCACGCCAGGACUGUACUGACAAUGGCUGAGAAGUGGUUGGAGUCCAUUGAAGUGACCAAGUCUGCUCUGCAGCAGAAGAUGUUGGACAUAGAGACAGAAGAGGAUCUGUUCCGUAAACAGAAGGGUUACCUGGACGAGGAGCUGGACUACAGGAAACAGUCCAUGGACCAGGCCCACAAGAGGAUCCUGGAGCUGGAGGCCAUGCUCUACGAGGCGCUGCAGCUAGAGGCGGAGUCUAUCAAGGCGGGGCUAGGGGUGGACGAGCGCAGACUGUGUGAAACUCUAUCAGAGGAGGAGAGGGAGGGGCUGAGGAGAUCCAUGGACCAAUGGAAACGCAGUGUGAUGUGCGAGCUGCGGGAGAGAGACGCCCAGAUCCUGAGAGAGAGGAUGGAGCUGCUGCAGCUCACACAGCAGAGAAACAAAGACCUGGAGGAGUUCAUCGAAACACAGAAACGACAGAUCAAAGAGCUGGAGGAGAAGUUCCUCUUCCUCUUCCUCUUCUUCUCUCUGGCCUUCAUCCUCUGGUCGUAGCAGUGUCUCCAGGCGACCACAAGGGGGCGAGUCCAGAAGAUCAGCUCACUGGUGUCACUGCCCCACUCAACGGCCAAUCAGAGCAGGACUCAGCCAUCAGCUGACUCUACACAGGCCGAGCCCACUGGAACUGUUUACAUAACAACAGAAUUUAAUUUACAACAAGUACAACCACCAGAGGCAGGCUGUACAGUUAACCUGCUGCUAACAGCUUCCUGUUAGCCUGUCGCUAACAGUAUACCAGGUUGGCUGUCUUGGCUAACCUGAAGAACAGUGACUGGGUGCUUUCUCUCUCUCUCUGCCUCUCAGUGUUCUCUAUAUGACAGGUGACAUCACAGGUGACAUCACAGGUGACAUCACAGGUGACAUCACAGGUGACAUCACAGGUGACAUCACAGGUGACAUCACCUGAGGAACGACCAGAUUUAGUUGAAUGACUUUUUCUCUGAUUGGCUGAUUUUUUCCUUUUUUUUUGCCUGCAAUGUUUUCCUUUAGUCACAGAACUUGGAUUAGCGUU
This is an RNA transcript of Cynoglossus semilaevis (tongue sole), 3185 nucleotides long. It is a transcript of the gene named Janus kinase and microtubule interacting protein 3, with no coding region annotated. The transcript has 26 exons. The record is from RefSeq and is a predicted model, not a curated record. Lineage: Eukaryota; Metazoa; Chordata; Actinopteri; Pleuronectiformes; Cynoglossidae.